UUUUAAUUUCAACUUAAUUGUGACUUUGCUAUCAAAAUUUAAAAAAAUGGUGUUAACACUGCUCACUCAGAGUAAAAUGAAUAACACUGGUUGUGCUUUUGGAUAGGGGUGCGCUAGUCAGAUACUCAGGAUUGGUAUCAAUCCGAACUGGGCCAAAAUGAACAAAAAAAAAGAGAAACAUUUUUG
Long non-coding RNA from Etheostoma cragini (Arkansas darter), 186 nucleotides. RefSeq lists it as uncharacterized. The transcript is spliced from 3 exons. The record is from RefSeq and is a predicted model, not a curated record. NCBI's taxonomy places the organism in Eukaryota, Metazoa, Chordata, Actinopteri, Perciformes, Percidae.